This 493-nucleotide ribosomal RNA is filed under the name uncultured Sphingobacteriales bacterium. Its description in RNAcentral is "bacterial SSU rRNA". It matches the Rfam family "Bacterial small subunit ribosomal RNA", at positions 903 to 1382 of the family's 1533-position model. The record is from RNAcentral. Lineage: Bacteria; Pseudomonadati; Bacteroidota; Sphingobacteriia; Sphingobacteriales.
CCCGCUCAGAAACUACAAAGGAAUUGACGGGGCCCGCACAAGCGGUGGAGCAUGUGGUUUAAUUCGAUGAUACGCGAGGAACCUUACCUGGGCUCGAACGUAAGAUGACUGUAGGUGAAAGCUUACAUCUCUUCGGAGCAUUUUACGAGGUGCUGCAUGGUUGUCGUCAGCUCGUGCCGUGAGGUGUCGGGUUAAGUCCCAUAACGAGCGCAACCCUACCUUUAGUUGCCAUCAGGUAAUGCUGGGGACUCUAAAGGAACUGCCUACGCAAGUAGUGAGGAAGGCGGGGAUGACGUCAAAUCAGCACGGCCCUUACGUCCAGGGCUACACACGUGCUACAAUGGCCGAUACAGAGGGCAGCUACCUGGUGACAGGAUGCAAAUCUCCAAAGUCGGUCUCAGUUCGGAUCGGAGUCUGCAACCCGACUCCGUGAAGUUGGAUUCGCUAGUAAUCGCGCAUCAGCCAUGGCGCGGUGAAUACGUUCCCGGGCCUU